CUGGACAGUUCGAAGGGAUGAGAGAGUAGGGGUUGGGAGUAGGGAUAGCGUGGGUGGACUGAAGGAAGAGAGAGAGAAGGAAGGAAAAAAGAGGGUACCGUUUACGGUUCUCGAGUUACCUGGCGCUACAUCAAGACUCGCUGUCUCCACGGGAGCGAGACUUGGUUCGAGACCAGUCGACGUCACGUGACGGGACGACUCCGAUGCCUGACGGUUUUGACGACGUCAGAGUGUCCGUUACUGUCCGGUCUUUUUCUGAAGCAGUUAGGUUCUGGCCUCCCUCUCAGCUGGAGACGGGAAGAAUGUUCCUAACGCCAUUAGUCGCUCCACGCCCCUGGAGUCGCGCGGUCUUGUCCGAGUGCUCAGUCAAGCGUGAACAGACUCGACAACGGAUAGCCAGUCAACCGACCGAGGGUCAUAACAAGUGUGUGGUCAUAGGGUGAGUGUGUGGGUGAGGGUUGAGGCUGGGUGGAAUAUGGGUUGUGUAUUUGUGUGUGUGUAUAUGGGUGAUGGGUAUGGGGUGGAUGGGUUUGUAUGAUGUGCUAGAAAGUGUGUCUGUCUGUGUGUGCGUUCAUGAGUCCAGCGCACCUCCACAUCCUCACCCACCCUACACCCUGCUAACCCACCCACACCUUUUUAACGAAUUUUUUUUUUUUUCAAAAGCCGCACCCACCCCUGUCUUGCUGGCGCCGUUCGCUCUCCCCAGAGAAAGUUUAUUUUUCUAUCGACUUCGCGCUGCAGUCGCUCCACCUCGCGUCAAGCUGCAAUUUUUACCUCCCCUGCUUCCACUUAAUUCUCGUAGGCUCGUCGCUUAACAACAGCAGAAAAAAACCCGAACAACUAAAAUAAAGAAAGACUGGCUGGUGUCAGGGGCUGGCAAGACAGAUACAAACAACUCUCAGGUGUGAUUCUAAUGCGGGAGGUAUGCUGCCUUUAAAAUGUUUUCAGCUUCCUUAGUGACACCUUUCGAUGACCUGCGCGAGGUAAUUGGAGGUACAAGUAAAUAAAAAAAAAAGGAGAGGGUAGGAGCAUCGGCCCAGCAUCCCUGGGACUUAGGCAGCGCUGCUUGUAGACAAAAACGAACCAGAGGGGACCAAAACUUUGAGAGAUUAGGGACAGCAACCGGAAGUUUGUGUCUUCUAUCGCUUCUUCUUCACAUAAUGUGUUUCUCCUCCUCUAUCUAUCAAGCUGUCUGUCUAUCCUGCUACCAAGCGGGAAAACUCUUGGGGAUGAUAUAAUGACUAAAAAUAACCCAAUAAAGUGUUCUUACCUUUCGAGUCUCUCAACAGCUGAUGCACUUGUCUGGGUGUGGCUCCAGACGGGGUAGCUCGCCCUGGUGUAGUCUCGCUGACUCAGCUGAAAACACCCAGAACUUUCCCAGAACAGGUCAAGUGUUUAGACUGCAGUGUCGGGGAUUCUGUUUCUGGAGCCAGAACCAGCGCGCAAUGUGGAGACAAAGCAGCCUGUGACCCCAGACGACGAGUGUCAGCCAUGUCGACUCACGCGGCGCGUGCGAGAGGUCGCAUGCAAAUCGCAAUCAUGAUCGUGGCGGUGGAUAAGCACGCUUAAUUAGCCAGGUUAAAAUUUUGAGUAGAACAGCUAAUUACUCUUGGACAAAUCUUUGGCAAAUGUGAAGAAAAAAGAGACGCUAUUCUCUCCCCUUUCUCUCUCUCUUUUUUUUUUUUUUCCUCUUUAAAGCGCAACCAGAGGGUGGGGCCAGAACUUUCUGCUAAAAAGACUUUCAGCUUCCUCUUGCCUUCCUCUUCUCUUCGCUUCCUUCUGAGCGACAGCUGUGGCAUCUCCCUCCACCGCAAGGCGUCGCGAGCUGCAAGAGCAGGGGAGGUAAUGAGCGAUUAGGCAGGAACAAGACGCGGGAUUACACACCUUUGCAGAAGCGCGUCGGUAUCUGGCGCUGUCAUCUUCCUACACAGUUAUCUGGUGCGCAGAUCUGAAGGUAGUUUGUUCCCAUCUCCCCCCUAACCCCUCCUUUCUUCUUCUUCUCUCACCAUUUGGCCUUUCAUCCCAGCAGACAGAUGACCGGCUAAUGUCAUCCCAAAAGCCCGGGCAAAAUGGCGCGAAAAUUAGAAGGCGCCAAAACAUGAGUCGCGUCCCCUUGAAGAACCGGAAGCAGCUCCGAUGCCACGGUCAUUAUGGGAACGUUUGGCGCGCUCGCUUGGCGUCAGCACAGGCGGAAGACGUCGCUCGCGCGCUAUGAUUCCGCAGUCACUCAAAUGGCAACAGCCGGCACAAGUGGCCACUCGACACGCCGAUGGUCGUCGGUGCCAGUGAAACUCUACUCAGCAUGCGGAGACUAUUUUGCUCCAAGUUUAAACAAGGGUUUGCGGGAUCAGACAUCAGACGGGAGUCUUGGGUUCCACUAGCGAGGGUCGGCGAGUUCACCAGUCCGCUCCCUCAGCGAUCCCCCUCCAGGCUUUGUGUUUUCCGUGAGCGAUGGAAAAAGACCGUAUACAGUCAGAAACAGGGAAAGUAAACAUACACGCAAAAGGUUACGUACAUAAAUAUUUAAAUGAGAUGUGCGUUAGAAAGAAGGGAGAGAACAAUGGAUGCUAUCUCACCCUUUAGGUGUAUAUGCCAGUCGCCGCCGUGACGACUGCCUCAGAGUCCAGCGAAGGAGGACACAGAGUCGCAGACUUUGAAUGACCUGACCUCACUGACCCUAAGAACUACACGACGUGGGGCCAGGGCGCCAAGAACCAAGAGGCAUCAGGAGCAAGAGAACCACUCAGUUCGAGACCAUCGAACCCUGGCCGUCUGGAACCCCUAGUGCGAAAUCACCUCAAAGUGGAAGCAUUUUCCUACUAAAUAAACCAAACAACCGUUUUUUAAUUUGCACUAACCUUUAACUGACACGCCGACUUUUUUAUAUUUCAUAUUAAUUGUAUCUCUAUAAUUAUUUCAUUAAGAUCGUCUAUACAUUAGUCUACACUUGUUUAAUAUUGAGUAACUUUAUAACAAAGUGUUUACAAGAUAAAAACAAGUCGGACAGUG
Molecule: long non-coding RNA, 3009 nt
Organism: Pomacea canaliculata
Lineage: Eukaryota; Metazoa; Mollusca; Gastropoda; Architaenioglossa; Ampullariidae
Exons: 3
Source: RefSeq, a predicted model, not a curated record